Molecule: non-coding RNA, 75 nt
Organism: Myotis lucifugus (little brown bat)
Lineage: Eukaryota; Metazoa; Chordata; Mammalia; Chiroptera; Vespertilionidae
Source: Rfam
AGCAGUUCUCAGGUGACACACCCCAGGAUCAGGCUCCCUCCUCUCUGGUUCUGGGUGCAUCACCUGAGAACUGCA